GUGAGGAAUUUUGCGCAAUGGGGGCAACCCUGACGCAGCGACGCCGCGUGGAGGACGAAGUCUUUCGGGAUGUAAACUCCUGUCAGUGGGGACGAUAAUGACGGUACCCACAGAGGAAGCACCGGCUAACUCCGUGCCAGCAGCCGCGGUAAGACGGAGGGUGCAAGCGUUGUUCGGAAUUACUGGGCGUAAAGCGUAUGUAGGCGGCAAGUUAAGUUCAAUGUUAAAGCCCACGGCUCAACCGAGGAGAUGCAUUGAAUACUGGCUAACUAGAGGGUGUUAGAGGAAGACGGAAUUCCCAGUGUAGCGGUGAAAUGCGUAGAUAUUGGGAGGAACAUCGGUAGCGAAAGCGGUCUUCUGGGACAUACCUGACGCUGAGGUACGAAAGCGUGGGGAGCAAACGGGAUUAGAAACCCCGGUAGUCC
Molecule: ribosomal RNA, 425 nt
Filed under: uncultured bacterium
Lineage: Bacteria
Description: partial 16S ribosomal RNA
Rfam family: Bacterial small subunit ribosomal RNA
Source: RNAcentral